AUGGAGCUCAACUUUGCCUCGUAUGUGUCCAUUGUUCUCUUGGUCCUCUCCGGCACGUACGUCUACUGCGCGACACGGAGCCGGUCGCCGCUGCGGCUCCCGCCCUCGCCGCCCGGGUGGCCUGUGAUCGGCCACCUCCACCUGAUGACGGACAUGCCCCACCACGCACUCGCAGAGCUGGCCAGGAGCAUGCGCGCUCCGCUCCUCCGGCUUCAGCUCGGGAGCAUCCCGGCCGUGGUGAUCUCCAAGCCCGACCUGGCGCGCGAGGCGCUCACCACCAACGACGCGGCAAUGGCGUCCCGGCCACACCUCCUCUCCGGGCAGUUCCUCUCGUUCGGCUGCUCCGACGUGACGUUCGCGCCGGCGGGGGCCUACCACCGGAUGGUGCGGAGGGUGGUGGUCUCCGACCUCGUCUCGCCUCGCCGAGUGGCCACCUACGGAAGCUUCCGGGACGAGGAGCUCCGCCGCCUCCUCGCGCACCUCACGGAGAGCGCCUCGACGACGGAGACCUCCGUCAACCUCAGCAAGUGCCUCCUCAACCUGGCCAACGAUGUGCUCUGCCGCAUCGCCUUUGGCCGCCGGUUUCCGCACGGCAAGGACGACAAGCUCGCCGCGGUGCUCGCCGAGUCGCAAGACCUCUAUGCCGGAUUCGCCAUAGGCGACUUCUUCCCGGAGUUGGAGCCUCUCGCGAGCACCCUGACGGGACUCCGCCGCCGGCUGAAGAGCUGCCUGGCCGACCUCCGCGAGGUCUGUGACGAAAUCAUCGAGGAGCACAUCAGCGGCCAACGCCAGCGCAUCCCCGGCGACCGAGACGAGGACUUUGUCGACGUCCUCCUCCGCGCCCAGAAGGCGGCCGAUCUAAAAGUCCCACUCACCGACGACAACCUCAAAUCCAUCGUCUUGGACAUAUUCAUCGCCGGCACAGACACGACGUUUGCGACGAUAGAGUGGACGAUGACAGAGUUGAUGCGCCACCCACGCAUCCUAAGAAAAGCGCAGGACGAGGUCCGGUGGGUCGUGGGUGCCAAGGGUCAGGUGGAAGAGUCGGACCUCGUUGAGCUCCACUACAUGCGCGCCAUCAUCAAGGAGACCUUCCGUUUGCACCCGGUGGUUCCGCUGCUUGUGCCUCGGGAGUCCAUUGUCGCAUGCACCCUUGGCGGCUAUGACAUCCCGGGCAAGACCCGCAUCUUUAUCAACACUUUUGCCAUGGGUCGGGACCCGGAGAUUUGGGAGGACCCACUAGAGUACUGGCCAGAACGGUUCGAGAUCGCCGGCGGUGAGAUCGACCUCAAGGACCGGGACUAUAAGCUGAUGCCGUUUGGCGGUGGUCGGAGAGGGUGCCCAGGCUACACGUUCGCACUACCCACUGUGCAGUUAACGCUGGCCAAACUGAUGUAUCACUUCGAGUGGGCCCUGCCAGAGGGCGUGCGCGCUGAGGACAUCAGUGUAGAAGAGAGCUUUGGGUUAGCCACAAAGAAGAAGGAGCCGCUCUUCGUUGCCGUCAGGAAAAGCGACAUGUAUGAGUUUAAGGGGGAGUAA
This 1539-nucleotide ribosomal RNA is filed under the name Triticum aestivum (bread wheat). RNAcentral's name for it is "partial small subunit ribosomal RNA". The record is from RNAcentral. Lineage: Eukaryota; Viridiplantae; Streptophyta; Magnoliopsida; Poales; Poaceae.